AAUCUAUGUUGAGGGCAGUGUUGAAUCAAAUCUUUAUACCUUUUUCAUACUUCAUUAAGUGAUUCGAAAUCAUUUUAUUUGAAUUGACCAAUCUCACUCUUGAGUUG
Carya illinoinensis is the source of this 107-nucleotide small nucleolar RNA. Lineage: Eukaryota; Viridiplantae; Streptophyta; Magnoliopsida; Fagales; Juglandaceae. The record is from RefSeq and is a predicted model, not a curated record.